UACGGAGGGGGCGAGCGUUAUUCGGAAUUAUUGGGCGUAAAGGGCGCGUAGGCGGACAAGUAAGUCAAAGGUGAAAUCCCUCGGCUCAACUGAGGAAUUGCCUUUGAAACUGCGUGGCUUGAGGCCGGGAGGGGGUAGCGGAAUUCCCAGUGUAGCGGUGAAAUGCGUAGAUACUGGGAGGAACACCAGUGGCGAAGGCGGCUACCUGGACCGGUUCUGACGCUGAUGCGCGAAAGCGUGGGGAGCAAACAGG
This 253-nucleotide ribosomal RNA is filed under the name uncultured bacterium. RNAcentral describes it as "partial 16S ribosomal RNA". It matches the Rfam family "Bacterial small subunit ribosomal RNA", at positions 524 to 776 of the family's 1533-position model. The record is from RNAcentral.